RNAcentral lists this long non-coding RNA (1469 nucleotides) under Homo sapiens (human). Its description in RNAcentral is "HSALNT0386431". The record is from RNAcentral. Lineage: Eukaryota; Metazoa; Chordata; Mammalia; Primates; Hominidae.
GAACAAUUUAUUUCAUCAUUUCAGCCAUUAUUUCUAGGAAAGCCUUUUUGUUAUCUGUAGCAGAUAUUUGUGAUGAAUUGUGCCAUACAUAUCCCCUCUGCACACCUAAUUUCAGUACUGAUGUGGUGGGCAGCUCUGUGCCUCUUUGCCAAUGUCCAUGGUGUCCUACUGUAUCGCUUUCUCAAAAGCUGGGAAAAGUAGCUUAGCCACAUGUAGGUGCAACCCAGAAAUGUGAGGGAGUCUAUGCCCCUCAAGGUAAUCCUCAUCCAAUGGGGGAUAAAAUCUAUGGAUAAAUGUCCCAGCUUCCUUGUCCUCCCGUAGGACAAUUCUAAGCAGUAACCAGCUCGUUAACACGUACUUUACAGUUGUUGUUGUUUUUUUCCCUUUCUUGUCUGUCUCUCUUUCCUUAUUCUUGCACUUCCACUUUCUGUGAUUGCCUCCAAAACAAACUCCCUGAAUCUUAGUCAGUUUGGGGUGUUCUAACAGAAUACCACAGACUGGUGACUUAGGCAGCAAACAUUUAAUUCCCACAAGUUCUAGAGGAUAGAAGUUCAAGAUGAGGGUGCCAGCAUGGUUAGGUCUUUCUUGGAGGCCCUCUUCCUGGUUUACAGAUGGCUGCCUUCUUGUUAUAUCCUCAUUUGCCAGAAGGAGAGAGAGAUAUCAUGUCUCUCUCUCUUUAUAAGCUCAUUAAUCUCAUCAAGUGGACCCCACCCUCAUGACCUAAUCUAACCCUAAUUACCUCAUAAAAGCCCCACCUUGGAAUGCCAUCACAUUGAGGAUUAGAGUUUCAACAUAUCAAUGCUGGGGUUAAACACACAUUCCACCCAUAGCAUCCUGCAUCAAGUCCUCAUCUCAGUGUCAACUUUAAGUGCCUGGAAGAACCAGAAUCCUAGGAGCAUGGAAGACUUAAUUCAUUCAACAGUAACCACCUCUUUUUAGCCUAAGACUUUGGCAGCCGAACAACAGAACAGGAAUUAUGUCAGCUUUUCUGCUUAGCAUGAGCUCUGCCCCAGAACCAAUGACAUAAAAUACGUAUGUUUGCUUUCCCUGCCACAAAGUUGCGACACAUUAUCAAAGCUUUACAAAGUCACUCUAUCUUAGGACACCCCUAGACAACUUGUUUCCAUCUUACUUCUGGGACAAAAAUAUUUACUGUAUCCUGCUUUCAUUGUCUUUGUGAAUAUUACAUUAAAUGUUGACAUGUGCUUGGCAAUUCAAAUUCAUUGGUUAAAUGUUUUUCUCCUCUCAAAAUUAUUUUUAAUAUAAUAGUCUAAUAAAUAUGAAUCCAAGAUUCCUUACUAAACAUGUGACUUUGCCUUGUCCAACCUCAGUAUUUUGUUCUAUAAAACGCAAGUAACUAGGCAACUCCCAUUUUAGGUUGUAAAAAUUGCAAAAAUUACAAAAAUGUGUUCAGUGCAGUCCAUGGCAAAAAAAAAAGAACUUCUAAAUGUCACAUAUUAUUAUUAAAA